AUUCCAGCUCCAAUAGCGUAUAUUAAAGUUGUUGCAGUUAAAAAGCUCGUAGUCGGAUUUUGGCAUCACGCCGAACUGUCUGCCGAUUGGUAAGUACGGUUUGGCGGGUGCUUCCUUCCGGAGGCUCGUUCCCUUCUUCAUUGAAGGGUUCGUUGGUUCCGGGUCUUUUACUUUGAGAAAAUUAGAGUGUUCAAAGCAGGCCUAUGCUCUGAAUAGGUUAGCAUGGAAUAAUAGAAUAGGACUUUGGUUCUAUUUUGUUGGUUUCUAGGACCGAAGUAAUGAUUAAUAGGGACAGUUGGGGGCAUUCAUAUUCCAUUGUCAGAGGUGAAAUUCUUGGAUUAACGGAGGAUGAACUUCUGCGAAAGCAUCUGCCAAGGAUGUUUUCAUUA
RNAcentral lists this ribosomal RNA (389 nucleotides) under Picozoa sp. RNAcentral describes it as "partial small subunit ribosomal RNA". It matches the Rfam family "Eukaryotic small subunit ribosomal RNA", at positions 582 to 975 of the family's 1831-position model. The record is from RNAcentral. Lineage: Eukaryota; Picozoa.